AAUCUACCGAUAGUUGGGGGAUAGCCUUGGGAAACUGGGAGUAAUCCGCCAUAUCUUUACAUGAUGGCAUCAUUGAGUAAAGAAAGCUGAGGCGACUAUUGAUGAUCGUGCGUCUGAUUAGGUAGUUGGUAGGGUAACGGCCUACCAAGCCGACGAUCAGUAGGGGGCGUGAGAGCGUGGCCCCCCACACGGGUACUGAGACACGGACCCGACUCCUACGGGAGGCAGCAGUAAGGAAUAUUGGUCAAUGGGCGGAAGCCUGAACCAGCCAUCCCGCGUGCAGGAUGACUGCCCUAUGGGUUGUAAACUGCUUUUAUCUGGGAAUAAACCACUCUAUUUAUGGGGUGUUGAAGGUACCAGAAGAAUAAGCACCGGCUAACUCCGUGCCAGCAGCCGCGGUAAUACGGAGGGUGCAAGCGUUAUCCGGAAUCACUGGGUUUAAAGGGUGCGUAGGCGGCUGUAUAAGUCAGAGGUGAAAGGCUACAGCUUAACUGUGGAAUUGCCUUCGAUACUGUAUAGCUUGAAUAAGGAUGAGGUUGGCGGAAUGUGGCAUGUAGCGGUGAAAUGCAUAGAUAUGCCAUAGAACACCAAUUGCGAAGGCAGCUAACUGGACCUUUAUUGACGCUGAGGCACGAAAGCGUGGGGAUCAAACAGGAUUAGAUACCCUGGUAGUCCACGCCCUAAACGAUGCU
RNAcentral lists this ribosomal RNA (692 nucleotides) under uncultured bacterium. RNAcentral's name for it is "bacterial SSU rRNA". It matches the Rfam family "Bacterial small subunit ribosomal RNA", at positions 123 to 813 of the family's 1533-position model. The record is from RNAcentral.